UUAUUUACAAUAUACAUUAUGCAUUAGUAUAUGUGGUGUAUAUAAAUACAUAAACAUAUUCUGUUAAUUAAGUUUUGAAGAGUUUAAUUUAAUUUGGUUUUUACACAGUUAAUUUAUUUUCUUUAUUUUUUUCUUUAUUAACAACUAUUACAUGCAAAUUCUUGAACCGUGAGUGUGUAAUAAAAGUUUGACCAUAUAGCAGUGUGACAAUGAACGUUCUUGGCCCUAGAACAGCAACAUCAGUCAAUCGUGUACCUGAUAUGGGACAACCAACCAAGCCGCUGACCAACAGCCCACCAGUAACAAAAUCUAUGUUUCAUCAUGUAAAAAUAGAACAUUUGGUAGCUGGCUUUUCAGGCGGCGUUGCGUCUACUCUCAUACUUCAUCCUCUAGAUUUAUUGAAAAUUCGAUUUGCUGUUAAUGAUGGAAGAAAUACAAUACCAAGUUAUGCUGGAUUGGGAAAUGCUGUCACUACAAUAUUUAGACAAGAAGGAAUAAAAGGACUUUAUAAAGGAGUUACUCCAAAUGUUUGGGGAUCAGGAAGUGCAUGGGGCUUUUAUUUCCUAUUUUAUAAUUCAAUUAAAGCUUGGAUUCAAGGUGACAAUACUAAAAAGCCUUUGGGUCCAGCAUUACAUAUGACUGCAGCAGCAGAAGCAGGCAUACUCACCUUAAUGAUAACCAAUCCAGUAUGGGUUGUCAAGACUCGUUUGUGUUUGCAGUUUGAUAAGCCCAAUGACGCGAGCAAGUCAUACAGUGGCAUGUGGGAUGCAUUUCGCAAGAUCUAUGGUGCUGAGGGUGUACGAGGCUUGUACAAGGGCUUUGUUCCUGGCAUGUUUGGUGUAUCUCACGGUGCCCUGCAGUUCAUGACUUACGAGGAGAUGAAAACUUUUUAUAAUGAAUACAGAAGAUUACCAAUUGAUGCUAAAUUGGAAACAUCUGAAUACAUUGUAUUUGCAGCGUUUUCAAAAUUAAUAGCAGCUGGUUUGACAUAUCCAUAUCAAGUAAUUCGUGCGAGACUGCAAGAUCAACAUCGUGAAUACCGGGGAACUUGGCAUUGUAUAACCCAAACAUGGAGGUACGAAGGUGCUGGUGGAUUCUAUAAGGGAUUAUCGCCAUAUUUAUUACACGUGCUUCCAAAUAUUUGUCUUGUGUUGUUGAUAUAUGAGAAAUUUACAAACACUUAAGAUUCUGUUACACCAAUAUGAGUUUAAACAUAACAAAACCUAUCAGUCCUGUGUAUGAAAGUGCCAAAGGAUUUUAUAAAGGAAUUGGGCCCAAUCUAUUGAGAGUUGUACCGGCAACCAUCAUCACAUUUGUAGUUCAUG
RNAcentral lists this unclassified non-coding RNA (1325 nucleotides) under Diuraphis noxia (Russian wheat aphid). Its description in RNAcentral is "mitochondrial folate transporter/carrier, transcript variant X6". Lineage: Eukaryota; Metazoa; Arthropoda; Insecta; Hemiptera; Aphididae. The record is from RNAcentral.